UGGGUUGUGUGGCGGCAG
This 18-nucleotide unclassified non-coding RNA is filed under the name Chlamydomonas reinhardtii. RNAcentral describes it as "small RNA Cre_3425". The record is from RNAcentral. Lineage: Eukaryota; Viridiplantae; Chlorophyta; Chlorophyceae; Chlamydomonadales; Chlamydomonadaceae.